This 354-nucleotide small RNA is filed under the name Enterobacter cloacae. Its description in RNAcentral is "cspA thermoregulator". It matches the Rfam family "cspA thermoregulator", at positions 28 to 370 of the family's 428-position model. The record is from RNAcentral. Lineage: Bacteria; Pseudomonadati; Pseudomonadota; Gammaproteobacteria; Enterobacterales; Enterobacteriaceae.
CAUUUUCAGUAAAGAAGUCCUGAGUAAACACGUUGUCGUUGAAUACCGCUUCUCUGCCGAACCUUAUAUUAGUGCCUCAUGCAGUAAUGUCUCAGUUUUAUCUCAGUUAUGCCUGCGGGCUAAGAAAACACUCUAAGGAAUUUUGCAAAUGGCAAAGAUUAAAGGUCAAGUUAAGUGGUUCAACGAGUCUAAAGGUUUUGGCUUCAUUACUCCUGCUGACGGCAGCAAAGACGUGUUCGUACACUUCUCUGCAAUCCAGGGUAACGGCUUCAAAACUCUGGCUGAAGGCCAGAACGUUGAGUUCGAAAUUCAGGACGGCCAGAAAGGCCCAGCUGCGGUUAACGUAACUGCUAU